GAGCUCGUUUUGAAAACUGAAAAAAAAAUAACAAUCAUUCGGACAAGGUUGCUCCUGCGUAAAAUAGAUUUAAGAAAUUCGAAGCUU
RNAcentral lists this small RNA (87 nucleotides) under Salix viminalis (osier). The record is from RNAcentral. Lineage: Eukaryota; Viridiplantae; Streptophyta; Magnoliopsida; Malpighiales; Salicaceae.